UUAGAUUAAUUAUCGUCUAUUAUUGAAUUAUUGCAUAAGUUUAUUAAUCUCUGAUUUUUCCAUCUUUCAUGUACGGUAGUGCUGUAUUCACUUCUCCACAGUGGACACACUCAAGAUGCUGAGUUGACUAUUAAACCCAAAUGGUCCACUUUUUAUAUUGGAGAAUCUGUGACCUUCAAAUGUGACAUGAAGGAAGGAAGAGCAGAAGACUGGAAUUACACAUUGAAGAGACGUGAUUGGACACCUUAUUCUAAUGUCCCACAACAACAUUUAUUAUUAUAUCCUCUAUAUAAAGUUCACAGUGGUGAUUAUCAGUGCUGUGGUCACAGGAAGAGUUCAAAUUCUACAAAGUGCAGCAACAGAGUCUCUAUACACGUAUCAGACAAACCCAGAUUCAGACUGACAGCAGGAACAACAACUGUGUCAGUAGGAGACAGAGUGACACUGAGCUGCUCUGUGGAGAAAUCUGCUGGUUGGAAAUAUGAGUGGUUCAGAAGAACCUCACACACCUCUGAAUACAGAAUCAAUGAUGGAGAAAAUGGAAACAUCAGAGUCUCACAAGGAGGAAUCUACAGAUGCAGAGGAUUUAGAGGAGAACCAGCCGUCUACUCUGAUCAAAGUGAUGAAGUCA
Molecule: long non-coding RNA, 631 nt
Organism: Oryzias melastigma (Indian medaka)
Lineage: Eukaryota; Metazoa; Chordata; Actinopteri; Beloniformes; Adrianichthyidae
Exons: 3
Source: RefSeq, a predicted model, not a curated record